This 254-nucleotide ribosomal RNA is filed under the name uncultured bacterium. RNAcentral's name for it is "partial 16S ribosomal RNA". It matches the Rfam family "Bacterial small subunit ribosomal RNA", at positions 524 to 776 of the family's 1533-position model. The record is from RNAcentral.
GACGAACCGUGCGAACGUUAUUCGGAAUCACUAGGGCUUAAAGGGCGCGUAGGCGGGCUCGCCAGUCAGGGGUGAAAGCCUCCAGCUCAACUGGAGAAGUGCCUUUGAUACUGCGAGUCUCGAGGGAGGUAGGGGCGUGCGGAACUUCCGGUGGAGCGGUGAAAUGCGUAGAUAUCGGAAGGAACACCGGUGGCGAAAGCGGCGCGCUGGACCUCUUCUGACGCUGAGGCGCGAAAGCCAGGGGAGCAAACGGG